This 468-nucleotide ribosomal RNA is filed under the name uncultured bacterium. RNAcentral describes it as "partial 16S ribosomal RNA". It matches the Rfam family "Bacterial small subunit ribosomal RNA", at positions 28 to 507 of the family's 1533-position model. The record is from RNAcentral.
GACGAACGCUGGCGGCGUGCUUAACACAUGCAAGUCGAACGGACAGGCCCUGCUUUUGUGGGGUGCUCGAGUGGCGAACGGGUGAGUAACACGUGAGUAACCUGCCCUUGACUUUGGGAUAACUUCAGGAAACUGGAGCUAAUACCGGAUAGCAGCUCAUGCCGCAUGGUGUGGAUUGAAAAGUUUCGGCGGUUGGGGAUGGACUCGCGGCUUAUCAGCUUGUUGGUGGGGUAGUGGCUUACCAAGGCUUUGAAGGGUAGCCGGCCUGAGAGGGUGACCGGCCACAUUGGGACUGAGAUACGGCCCAGACUCCUACGGGAGGCAGCAGUGGGGAAUAUUGCACAAUGGGCGGAAGCCUGAUGCAGCAACGCCGCGUGCGGGAUGACGGCCUUCGGGGUGGAAACCGCUUUCGCCUGUGACGAAGCGUGAGUGACGGUAAUGGGUAAAGAAGCAACGGCUAACUACGUG